This 452-nucleotide unclassified non-coding RNA is filed under the name Hevea brasiliensis (rubber tree). Lineage: Eukaryota; Viridiplantae; Streptophyta; Magnoliopsida; Malpighiales; Euphorbiaceae. The record is from RNAcentral.
AUAAAUUGUGACGGAUGAUAUUCCUUUUUUAGUUUUAUUCAGCUUGAAAUCCUUAGGCUAAGGAAGUUCCUACGUAACUCAGCUCCUCAUUAACCCUUAUCAAGGUUCAUCUAUCAAAGUUAUGUCAUCAAAGAAUAACUUUUGUAUAUGUUCACUUUAGUCAUCCGUGGCCAAUGCUAGAAGAUCAAGGACUCAAUGUUGAUCCUUGAUUAAGCCAAAUUUGAUGGGAAUUUCAUUUGUGUCAUGACCGUGAUUACUAGCAUCGAUGAGAGGUUUUUAGGUACAUAUCCCUAAACUGUGUAAAUCGCAUUACCAAUCUUUCCAAGACAUAAAUUUCAGCAGAAUUCUAUCAAGGGCAGAUACUUUUCUUGCUUUCAUCUUUUUGAGUUCACCAUUUUUUUUCACAAUAUUUUGCAAAGUUGGUAGCACUCUUGGAGUUUGUUAUGGAAAAU